RNAcentral lists this ribosomal RNA (251 nucleotides) under uncultured Anaerolineaceae bacterium. RNAcentral's name for it is "partial 16S ribosomal RNA". It matches the Rfam family "Bacterial small subunit ribosomal RNA", at positions 1132 to 1382 of the family's 1533-position model. The record is from RNAcentral. Lineage: Bacteria; Bacillati; Chloroflexota; Anaerolineae; Anaerolineales; Anaerolineaceae.
ACAAGUGUCACACGGAACUGCCGGUCAUAAACCGGAGGAAGUGGGAUGACGUCAAGUCAGCAUGGCCUUUAUAUCCUGGGCUACACACACGCUACAAUGGGAAGGGACAAUAGGUUGCGAAGCCGCGAGGCGGAGCCAAUCCAGCAAAACUUCCCUCAGUUCAGAUUGCAGGCUGCAACCCGCCUGCAUGAAGUUGGAGUUGCUAGUAAACGCAGGUCAGCCAUACUGCGUUGAAUACGUUCCCGGGGCUU